Molecule: unclassified non-coding RNA, 378 nt
Filed under: soil metagenome
Description: partial contains 5.8S ribosomal RNA, internal transcribed spacer 2, and large subunit ribosomal RNA
Rfam family: 5.8S ribosomal RNA (bases 1-120)
Source: RNAcentral
GAUGAAGAACGUAGCGAAAUGCGAUAAGUAAUGUGAAUUGCAGAAUUCAGUGAAUCAUCGAAUCUUUGAACGCACCUUGCACCCUUUGGCAUUCUGAAGGGUAUGCUCGUUUGAGUGUCAUUGUACUCUCACACUCCCGAUCUUUGCAUUGGGAGCAGUGGACUUGGGUUUGCUGCUUCACCGUCGCUUACCUCAAAUAGGUUAGUGCAACUCUUGGUUGGACAUAGUACGGCGUGAUAAGUGUUCUUCGCCGGUGCCUCGCAAAGAGGGUGGCCGAUCGGGAUGUUGUGCUCCAAACCGUCUUCGGACAAUCUCUGACGACUUGACCUCAAAUCGAGUAAGACUACCCGCUGAACUUAAGCAUAUCAAUAGCGGAGG